AAGCCCCAGUAAACGGCGGCCGUAACUAUAACGGUCCUAAGGUAGCGAAAUUCCUUGUCGGGUAAGUUCCGACCCGCACGAAAGGCGUAACGAUUUGGGCACUGUCUCAACGAGAGACUCGGUGAAAUCAUAGUACCUGUGAAGAUGCAGGUUACCCGCGACAGGACGGAAAGACCCCGUGGAGCUUUACUGUAGCCUGAUAUUGAAAUUCGGCACAGCUUGUACAGGAUAGGUAGGAGCCUUUGAAACGUGAGCGCUAGCUUACGUGGAGGCGUUGGUGGGAUACUACCCUAGCUGUGUUGGCUUUCUAACCCGCACCACUUAUCGUGGUGGGAGACAGUGUCAGGCGGGCAGUUUGACUGGGGCGGUCGCCUCCUAAAAGGUAACGGAGGCGCUCAAAGGUUCCCUCAGAAUGGUUGGAAAUCAUUCAUAGAGUGUAAAGGCAUAAGGGAGCUUGACUGCGAGACCUACAAGUCGAGCAGGGUCGAAAGACGGACUUAGUGAUCCGGUGGUUCCGCAUGGAAGGGCCAUCGCUCAACGGAUAAAAGCUACCCCGGGGAUAACAGGCUUAUCUCCCCCAAGAGUUCACAUCGACGGGGAGGUUUGGCACCUCGAUGUCGGCUCAUCGCAUCCUGGGGCUGUAGUCGGUCCCAAGGGUUGGGCUGUUCGCCCAUUAAAGCGGUACGCGAGCUGGGUUCAGAACGUCGUGAGACAGUUCGGUCCCUAUCCGUCGUGGGCGUAGGAAAUUUGAGAGGAGCUGUCCUUAGUACGAGAGGACCGGGAUGGACAUACCUCUGGUGUACCAGUUGUCGUGCCAACGGCAUAGCUGGGUAGCUAUGUAUGGACGGGAUAAGUGCUGAAAGCAUCUAAGCAUGAAGCCCCCCUCAAGAUGAGAUUUCCCAACUUCGGUUAUAAGAUCCCUCGAAGAUGACGAGGUUAAUAGGUUCGAGGUGGAAGCGUGGUGACACGUGGAGCUGACGAAUACUAAUCGAUCGAAGACUUAAUCAA
RNAcentral lists this ribosomal RNA (1008 nucleotides) under Staphylococcus epidermidis. RNAcentral's name for it is "partial 23S ribosomal RNA". It matches the Rfam family "Bacterial large subunit ribosomal RNA", at positions 1915 to 2925 of the family's 2925-position model. The record is from RNAcentral. RNAcentral also lists the same sequence under 1 other name. Lineage: Bacteria; Bacillati; Bacillota; Bacilli; Caryophanales; Staphylococcaceae.